AGUGAACGCUGGCGGCAGGCCUAAUACAUGCAAGUCGAACGGCAGCACAGCAGAGCUUGCUCUGUGGGUGGCGAGUGGCGGACGGGUGAGGAAUACAUGGGAAUCUGCCCAGUCGUGGGGGAUAACGUAUGGAAACGUACGCUAAUACCGCAUGCGCCCUACGGGGGAAAGCCGGGGACCGAAAGGCCUGGCGCGAUUGGAUGAGCCCAUGUUCGAUUAGCUAGUUGACGGGGUAAAGGCCCACCAAGGCGACGAUCGAUAGCUGGUCUGAGAGGAUGAUCAGCCACACUGGAACUGAGACACGGUCCAGACUCCUACGGGAGGCAGCAGUAGGGAAUAUUGGACAAUGAGGGCAACCCUGAUCCAGCCAUGCCGCGUGAGUGAAGAAGGCCCUCGGGUUGUAAAGCUCUUUUGUCCGGAAAGAAAAGCAUUCGGUUAAUACCCGGGUGUUCUGACGGUACCGGAAGAAUAAGCACCGGCUAA
This 483-nucleotide ribosomal RNA is filed under the name uncultured bacterium. RNAcentral describes it as "bacterial SSU rRNA". It matches the Rfam family "Bacterial small subunit ribosomal RNA", at positions 29 to 500 of the family's 1533-position model. The record is from RNAcentral.